Molecule: ribosomal RNA, 136 nt
Filed under: uncultured bacterium
Lineage: Bacteria
Description: partial 16S rRNA
Rfam family: Bacterial small subunit ribosomal RNA
Source: RNAcentral
UGAGGAAUAUUGGGCAAUGGGCGAAAGCCUGACCCAGCAACGCCGCGUGGAGGAUGAAGGUUUUUGGAUUGUAAACUCCUUUUGUGGGGGAAGAGUGAGGACGGUACCCCAAGAAUAAGUCACGGCUAACUACGUG